RNAcentral lists this long non-coding RNA (1513 nucleotides) under Volvox carteri. RNAcentral's name for it is "long non-coding RNA (VCAR_LNC001070)". The record is from RNAcentral. Lineage: Eukaryota; Viridiplantae; Chlorophyta; Chlorophyceae; Chlamydomonadales; Volvocaceae.
AGCAGCAGCAGCAGCAACAAAGAUGCAACGUUACGGCUUCUUCUUUGGUUUACGGCAGAUAGGUCACGGCUGCUGUUCGAGGGUCCUACCGCAAUAUUUUAAGCUCUUCCCACUUGCAUGUACAUGUGUCUGUGUACAUUUCACGCACCUCGCUGCCUGACCUACCUCACCCUGCCCUGCCGUACCCUGCCGUACCCUGCCGUACCCUGCCGUACCCUGCCCUACCCUGCACAUGUGCCUCACAAAACAUACUCCAAAACCACUCCGACCAUAAAGAAUUGUACACCAAAUGUUGUCUGAAACAGUGCCUCUCUCCCUCUCCCCCUCUCCCUCCCUCCCUCUCUCCCUCUCUCUCACCAUCCAGCCCCCUGCUUGCAUACCGGCCCCCCUUUCAUCAUCCACCAAGCGAACAACCCUCAUGGAGCGCAAUCCCGGCAAGUCCUGGUACUCCAGCUAUGUGGUUCAAUCCACAUUGCCCAUUGGGGGUCCCCAUAGCCAUUCCACGGGGCCAAGAACCCCAAGAACAGCCCGAGCACGGCACUGCCAUGCAAACGGGAUUCAGGUAGGUAAGCUGCGCAACCUGCAAACCGCGGGUUUAUGACCAGUUGAGACCUGUGCAGGCCGCUGUUCCUUCCCUUCGGUCCCGCGCCGCGGUCACCUUAUCUCUGGGUGUCUCCACCUACAUGGCUUGCACCUCCUAGUGUUCGUGCGUUAGGAGCCCGCUGCUGGACACACGUCUCCAGUGACCCGCCAUGCAUGGCCACUAGGCCUCCUCGCCACCCAUGAGGUUGUCCAGCGCGUGGUUCACAUGGCGCCUGUGAGAGACACACAAACAUACAUACACAUGCCGCCGUAGGUGGGUCGGUGGGUUUAUCAGAGGGCGUCCGACUGAGGCCCAGGCCCCGACAGACAGAAGGUUACCCGCAGCCGCGUCCCGCUAUGUGGCCCUCACCUCCUGUUGUAGUAGUACAAACCCGCAGCCACCGCCACGAGCGCCAAAGUCGGCACCACGGCAGCCGCCACAAUGGGGCCGUGGGAGGUGCCACUCGACCCGCCUGCGAUGGGGAGUGUGGAGAGGGGCCCGGGCACACGAGGGCACACGAGGUUGUGAGGCACUGUCGAUUGGAGGUGCCAGGCGGGCAGCCCUGGGUUGCAGAAACAGGAGUCUUACGCGCCCUAGCUUUGCUCUGGCUUGAGCCCCCCUCCUCCGAUGGCUGCCGCUGCACAGAGCUCGUUCGCUCGCAAAGAUUGGGGUCUCCCUAGAGCCCGCAAACAGAAUGAAACACGUUGCUGAUUGCACAUAAGGCAAGCAGCAGCGGUGCAUUCCGGCGGCUCGAUUGGUCCCCGUUGCGUCCUCGUCUGAAGCCCUCCAGGGAGCGCACCUUGCAACUGGCUGUUUGGUGGGCCUAAUAGAAGGGGUGGUGGCGGGGUCGUACUCCACUAAUCCCUGCUCGUACCGCGGCAUGGGACCUAGCGGGGCUGGAGGCGGCGGGGUCCUACGUGGCGGAGGUUN